UUGCACAAUGGGCGCAAGCCUGAUGCAGCGACGCCGCGUGAGGGAUGACGGCCUUCGGGUUGUAAACCUCUUUCGCCAGGGACGAAGCGCAAGUGACGGUACCUGGAGAAGAAGGACCGGCCAACUACGUGCCAGCAGCCGCGGUAAUACGUAGGGUCCGAGCGUUGUCCGGAAUUACUGGGCGUAAAGAGCUCGUAGGUGGUUUGUCGCGUUGUUCGUGAAAACUCACAGCUUAACUGUGGGCGUGCGGGCGAUACGGGCAGACUGGAGUACUGCAGGGGAGACUGGAAUUCCUGGUGUAGCGGUGGAAUGCGCAGAUAUCAGGAGGAACACCGGUGGCGAAGGCGGGUCUCUGGGCAGUAACUGACGCUGAGGAGCGAAAGCGUGGGGAGCGAACAGGAUUAGAUACCCUGGUAGUCCACGCCGUAAACGGUGGGUACUAGGUGUGGGUUUCCUUCCUUGGGAUCCGUGCCGUAGCUAACGCAUUAAGUACCCCGCCUGGGGAGUACGGCCGCAAGGCUA
This 522-nucleotide ribosomal RNA is filed under the name uncultured Actinomycetes bacterium. RNAcentral's name for it is "bacterial SSU rRNA". It matches the Rfam family "Bacterial small subunit ribosomal RNA", at positions 364 to 896 of the family's 1533-position model. The record is from RNAcentral. Lineage: Bacteria; Bacillati; Actinomycetota; Actinomycetes.